Molecule: long non-coding RNA, 933 nt
Organism: Oncorhynchus keta (chum salmon)
Lineage: Eukaryota; Metazoa; Chordata; Actinopteri; Salmoniformes; Salmonidae
Exons: 3
Source: RefSeq, a predicted model, not a curated record
GAUGAAAGAAGGUGAACCCAAUGGUCGCAAAGCAAGGUGAAAGAAGGUGAACCCAAUGCAAGGUGAAAGAAGGUGAACCCAAUGGUCUCAAAGCAAGGUGAAAGAAGGUAAACCCACUGGGUCUCAAAGCAAGGUGAAAGAAGGUGAACCCAAUGCAAGGAGAAAGAAGGUGAACCCAAUGGUCUCAAAGCAAGGUGAAAGAAGGUAAACCCACUGGGUCUCAAAGCAAGGUGAAAGAAGGUGAACCCAAUGCAAGGUGAAAGAAGGUGAACCCAAUGGGUCUCAAAGCAAGGUGAAAGAAGGUAAACCCACUGGGUCUCAAAGCAAGGUGAAAGAAGGUGAACCCAAAGCAAGGUGAAAGAAGGUGAACCCAAAACAAGGUGAAAGAAGGUGAACCCAAUGGUCUCAAAGCAAGGUGAAAGAAGGUGAACCCAAUGGGUCUCAAAGCAAGGUGAAAGAAGGUGAACCCAAUGGGUCUCAAAGCAAGGUGAAAGAAGGUGAACCCAAUGGGUCUCAAAGCAAGGUGAAAGAAGGUGAACCCACUGGGUCUCAAAGCAAGGUGAAAGAAGGUGAACCCAAUGGGUCUCAAAGCAAGGUGAAAGAAGGUGAACCCAAUGGGUCUCAAAGCAAGGUGAAUGAAGGUGAACCCAAUGGGUCUCAAAGCAAGGUGAAUGAAGGUGAACCCAAUGGGUCUCAAAGCAAGGUGAAAGAAGGUGAACCCAAUGGGUCUCAAAGCAAGGUGAAAGAAGGUGAACCCAAUGCAAGGUGAAAGAAGGUGAACCCAAAACAAGGUGAAAGAAGGUGAACCCAAUGCAAGGUGAAAGAAGGUGAACCCAAAACAAGGUGAAAGAAGGUGAACCCAAUGGUCUCAAAGCAAGGUGAAAGAAGGUGAACCCAAUGGUCUCAAAGCAAGGUGAAAGACGGUGAACCCAA